AGCGGCGGACGGGUGAGUAACACGUGGGUAACCUACCUUAUAGAUUGGGAUAACUCCGGGAAACCGGGGCUAAUACCGAAUAAUACUUUUUAACACAUGUUUGAAAGUUGAAAGACGGUUUCGGCUGUCACUAUAAGAUGGACCCGCGGCGCAUUAGCUAGUUGGUGAGGUAACGGCUCACCAAGGCAACGAUGCGUAGCCGACCUGAGAGGGUGAUCGGCCACACUGGGACUGAGACACGGCCCAGACUCCUACGGGAGGCAGCAGUAGGGAAUCUUCCACAAUGGACGAAAGUCUGAUGGAGCAACGCCGCGUGAGUGAAGAAGGAUUUCGGUUCGUAAAACUCUGUUGCAAGGGAAGAACAA
RNAcentral lists this ribosomal RNA (365 nucleotides) under Solibacillus silvestris. RNAcentral describes it as "bacterial SSU rRNA". It matches the Rfam family "Bacterial small subunit ribosomal RNA", at positions 94 to 452 of the family's 1533-position model. Lineage: Bacteria; Bacillati; Bacillota; Bacilli; Caryophanales; Caryophanaceae. The record is from RNAcentral.